RNAcentral lists this long non-coding RNA (212 nucleotides) under Elaeis guineensis (African oil palm). Its description in RNAcentral is "long non-coding RNA (EGUI_LNC056354)". The record is from RNAcentral. Lineage: Eukaryota; Viridiplantae; Streptophyta; Magnoliopsida; Arecales; Arecaceae.
UAUUGAACUCGAUGAGAAUAACAAAGAUUUGAUCACCUACAUGGAUACCAUGCAAAGAUUCGACUCUGAUUAAUGACUUGGAGCCAUAGGUCCGAAAUGAAGUCCAUGAAGAUCAAUGAUGUAUGGACACUCGUUGAUUCACUCGAAGGGUAAAGCCUAUAGAGUGUAAGUGGAUCUUCAAUAAGAUCAGAGUAGUGUAGAAGAGAAGGUGG